Molecule: ribosomal RNA, 869 nt
Filed under: Agaricus sp. ZRL2012608
Lineage: Eukaryota; Fungi; Basidiomycota; Agaricomycetes; Agaricales; Agaricaceae
Description: eukaryotic LSU rRNA
Rfam family: Eukaryotic large subunit ribosomal RNA
Source: RNAcentral
ACUAACAGGAUUCCCCUAGUAACUGCGAGUGAAGCGGGAAAAGCUCAAAUUUAAAAUCUGGCGGUCUCUGGCCGUCCGAGUUGUAAUCUAGAGAAGUAAUGCCCGUGCUGGACCGUGUAUAAGUCUCCUGGGAUGGGGCGUCAUAGAGGGUGAGAAUCCCGUCUUUGACACGGACUACCAGUGCAUUGUGGUAUGCUCUCAAAGAGUCGAGUUGUUUGGGAAUGCAGCUCAAAAUGGGUGGUAAAUUCCAUCUAAAGCUAAAUAUUGGCGAGAGACCGAUAGCGAACAAGUACCGUGAGGGAAAGAUGAAAAGAACUUUGGAAAGAGAGUUAAACAGUACGUGAAAUUGCUGAAAGGGAAACGCUUGAAGUCAGUCGCGUUGGCCGGGGAUCAGCCUUGCUUUUGCAUGGUGUACUUUCUGGUUGACGGGUCAGCAUCAAUUUUGACCGCUGGAAAAAGACCUGGGGAAUGUGGCAGCUUCGGCUGUGUUAUAGCCCCUAGUCGCAUACAGUGGUUGGGAUUGAGGAACUCAGCACGCCGCAAGGCCGGGUUUCGACCACGUUCGUGCUUAGGAUGCUGGCAUAAUGGCUUUAAGCGACCCGUCUUGAAACACGGACCAAGGAGUCUAACAUGCCUGCGAGUAUUUGGGUGGAAAACCCAAGUGCGUAAUGAAAGUGAAAGUUGAGAUCCCUGUCGUGGGGAGCAUCGACGCCCGGACCAGAACUUUUGGGACGGAUCCGCGGUGGAGCAUGUAUGUUGGGACCCGAAAGAUGGUGAACUAUGCCUGAAUAGGGUGAAGCCAGAGGAAACUCUGGUGGAGGCUCGUAGCGAUUCUGACGUGCAAAUCGAUCGUCAAAUUUGGGUAUAGG